UGGGGAAUAUUGGACAAUGGGGGGAACCCUGAUCCAGCCAUGCCGCGUGUGUGAAGAAGGCCUUUUGGUUGUAAAGCACUUUAAGCGAGGAGGAGGCUACUCUAGUUAAUACCUAGGGAUAGUGGACGUUACUCGCAGAAUAAGCACCGGCUAACUCUGUGCCAGCAGCCGCGGUAAUACAGAGGGUGCGAGCGUUAAUCGGAUUUACUGGGCGUAAAGCGUGCGUAGGCGGCUUUUUAAGUCGGAUGUGAAAUCCCUGAGCUUAACUUAGGAAUUGCAUUCGAUACUGGGAAGCUAGAGUAUGGGAGAGGAUGGUAGAAUUCCAGGUGUAGCGGUGAAAUGCGUAGAGAUCUGGAGGAAUACCGAUGGCGAAGGCAGCCAUCUGGCCUAAUACUGACGCUGAGGUACGAAAGCAUGGGGAGCAAACAGG
RNAcentral lists this ribosomal RNA (430 nucleotides) under uncultured bacterium. RNAcentral's name for it is "bacterial SSU rRNA". It matches the Rfam family "Bacterial small subunit ribosomal RNA", at positions 355 to 776 of the family's 1533-position model. The record is from RNAcentral.